CAAUCAGUGGUCAAAGCGGUGCGGCCCAACCUGGAACAAUCUAGGAACUCCAAGAUUCACGAUGCCAAAAAAAACACGACUUCUCUAUUUCUCCCAAUCGCUGCAUCCCAUGUCCUUACGCAGAGGAGGCGGUUCUCAUCUACCUCGGACCAUCCCUAAGCCAUGAGGUGCGUACAGAGGCAGCCCAGGCUUCCCUUCUCUCCCCUACCAAGGCAGGCAUCGGCCGGCCUUCUCCCCCUUCCAAGUCUGCGGGCCACACAAGGGAGUUCGACGCCCCCGUCCCCUUCCCAAGGCGGCUAACAGCGAGGAGGAGGGCAUGGGCGCACUCCUCUACCUCCAGAGGCAGCGGGGCCAUGGGAGGAGCUGACAGGAGGAGCAAGGCGGAGGACAUCGGCACCCUUCUCUCCCUCCUGAGGCAGCACGACUAUGGGAGGAGGCGACACAGUGGGUGCUCCCUUUCGGAUGCAUUGCAUCGCCGUCCGUGUCGUGACUCUCUCUGUCUCUCUUUGAAGCUGCGACUUCUAGGGAAUUUUGCAUCUACAGAACAUGGUAAGAAUACUCUUUGUUUCUCACCAAAAUAUAAAAUAGUGUACUUCUUUUUUGUACAUGGAAGACCAACUAUUCCCUUUUAAGACUCUUGCAGCAGUGGCUGAAGAUACAAAGAGAAAUAUCCACGGUUGCUCCAACUUUAUUUCGCAAAGGGUGGACCGUGCGAACAUGAAUAGCAACUGUGUUUUUUCCAAUUCAAACAAUGUGUCACUGUUAAUCCUAUAUGAAGUACCUGCUGAUGAUUUCAGUAAUGGCUUUAUUUAUUUUUUUCGAAAUGGGGAGUAAUGGCUUUAUUGUGUACCAGUUGUGCUCUUGCAUCCACUUAAUGAUUCACAUGUCUUCAACACUACAUGACAGCUCCUGACAUGAUUUUUUCAGAUAUAGUACUAUCAGGAUUUUUCUAUGGAGGAGCUUCCGUGUAAAUCCAAAUUGCUAAUUCUCGAUUGAAGGCAUAUAGUUUCUGCUCACUACUAUUGACUGUCAACGGUUUCUUUUUUGCUAAAUCUCCGUUGAAAGUCAUAUAGAUUCUACUUGUGAAUACUUUUGAUUAAGUAUGUAUUUUUUCCUCUAUUUUUGCAGGCGUUGCUACAGAUAUGCAGAGGGAUAAACUGUGCAGUGACAUACCAAUCUGCAGUUCAAUUUACAGUGCUUUACAUAUCAGAUGGUGUUGGUGCUCAGAGAUAUUGGCUUCAUUUUUGUUCCGACUCUUAGAUUUGGGGAAUUUCAUUGCUGAUUUUCGUGUCUCGAGCUCAUCUUCCAUUUUGCUUCUCGGAUCGACCUCCUCGAGCUUUUGAGAUUCAGUCUUGACGCUCAACUAUAUUUAUUCCUCACGUCUUUGUGAAACCAUGGGAGAUGAAUUGGUUCACCUAAGAAGCAUAUUUGUUGGUCAGCACUCAGCAGAAAAUCAUGACAACGGCAGAUCAGAUUGCCACCAAGGUUCCGGAGAAUAGUUCAGCAGAGGGUGCCACCCUGCAGAACACACCUGUGUUUAUUUGUUAAUAGGUACACAGUUAUGUUGCAAAAAAUCCAGUACCUCCAUGGGUCACAAGAAGGUACAGAUAUAAGAGUGCAGUUAAUUAGCAGCGUAUCGGCAAGUCAUGUGGUGUAUCCCGUGGAGUGUUUCAUUUCACCAGGAAUGUUUGAUGUGGAGGCUAUCCAGAAAGAUAACCCUUGCAUGUUCGUAUCGGCAGGUUACCAACUUUGCAGAUCUACAACAUGUGGAUUUCUAAAGGAUAACCUGCAUGCUCGGUUCCGGGUGAAGCGGCUAAAUGAUGUAGCAGUUUUACUCUAUUUUGAUCAAGAUAACCCUUGCAUGUUCGUAUAUGAAAUGUCUGUUUCUUUUGAAGAAUGGAUUCACGACGGAGAGCUUGAGCUCAUUCAGUGAACACCUGAGUAUGGAUCAGUUGUGUGUUUGGAGCUAUGAUAUACUCAAUUUUAGGUACCUUUUGCCUGAGUAUGGAUUUGGAUGUGUGGAGCAAGAAAAUCAGUAUGGAUCAGUUGACUUCUUUUUACCAUUUUGCCUGCAACAGUAAUAGUUCAUCAAUACAAUGCACCGCAUAUUGUGCUACUGCUGAAGUUAUACCAAAGAUGCUGCAAGUUAAGGUUCUGCCAUCGUACCUAGCUGAUUUAACCCAGAUACAUCUAGAUAGCAAGUGCAAGUGUCAUGUACUCCAUUUGUUCCUAUAUGUUGAUGCCAUCAUGGAUGGAUCUCUUCCUGUUUAGGUGUUGCUAUGGUUCAAGCACGUAUUCAGUGGUCUAUCUAAAAAAACGUAGUUCCUGUUGAUUGUUACUCGGUUCAAAAGCUAUGCGCAGAAGCCCAAGACCUGAAGUCCCUUAAUGCACCCAGUUCAAAUAGGAAGCACAUGCAGCCAGUGUUAGUUUCCUGUACGUUUUAAGGUAGUAGAAAAGGCAUAGAGGCACUCCUUAGUUUUCUGCAGAUUUCCAGGCGAUGACCUGACAACUACUUCCGACUGUUUGUUCAACAUUUUGUGUUAUCAUGCAUAUCA
Molecule: long non-coding RNA, 2555 nt
Organism: Lolium perenne
Lineage: Eukaryota; Viridiplantae; Streptophyta; Magnoliopsida; Poales; Poaceae
Source: RefSeq, a predicted model, not a curated record